UUAUUUAUUAACAAUUCUGAAUAAGAACAACAAAAUCUUGCAAGAUUGUAUAAUGUCACAAGAUAUUUUGUUUUUUGUUUUGUUUUGUUUUUAUUAUUAUUUGCACCUGCAGUUCCUUUGCAAACCAGCAGUGGUCACCCUCUGAUUUAAUUACAUACUGCUUCUCAAAGGAGUUAUUUCCCCUUAUCUUCCACCUGAUUAAUUAUUAGAUUCUGUCUUGUGGAGACCUUGGUGCUCUCUGAGCUUGGUUGUUUGCUUGCAGAUGUUUCAUUACCCGACUGGGUAACAUCAUCAGUAACAUCAGAACCAGAUUUUUCCUUGCUUAGAGAACAGUCCUCCUGAUAAGUCCCAAAGAGUAUCUCCUUUUUAAAAUACAUUUGGGAUGUGAUUUAGUCAGAAGAAAAGGCUGGUUGUGUUGCAAAUUCUUCUCCAGUCCUACAUAUGAGAGGCUUUACUCCUUCAGACAUUGUGGAAAUUCUGCCUUGGGGUAUUCUAAAAGGAGUUGUUUUUGUUUCUUGUUACUUAACCUUCACUGUGAUAUAAAACAUUUAAGUUUUUUUUUCUGAAAUUGGAAAGCUGAUUUACCAUCAUGCCCUGCAUUUCAAGUAAAAAUGCCUCAUUUUUACGGAUUCUAAUAAUGUGGUAUUAAGCCACAGAAGUACCAUAGUAUAUCAGUUUAACUGAAUUAUCUGGCAAUCAGCCAGUUGUCAGUGAAAUUCAAAAUACUUUGUACAUAAAUAAAUAUAUGUGUUUGCAAGAAUAUUGGCAGGUGGAGUAUGCAGAAUAAGACAGUAUAUUUCGGUGGUGUCAGGUAGGCAUAUGGCAGGAGACAAAGGCCAGGUCACUUUGAAGGAAUGUGCCCUUGGAAUCUGGUAUUGAUCUUGUGUUUCAGCCCCUUGAACUCAAUCCGUUUACCUAGUCAGUAAAUUUAUGGAGGCCCGGGUUUUAGACUGCUGGUUCUAAAUGUCAGAUCAGCUUGCCUUAUUGUUGAUUUGAUUCUUGAAGAGAAGGCUGAUCUCACUUGCAUCACCAAUUUGUAUCUGAGAGCAGAGGUGGGGUUCCUCUCUCCGAAAUGUGCUUAGCUGGCUAUCGAGCUUUGCACCAGUCUAGACUAUAGAGUGUAGGGAGGCAGUGGGGCUGUUGUCAUCAGAGAAUCUCUGAUAGCUUCCAGGGGCAUUGCUUCAAGAGUGCCCUUUUUCUUAGGUUGGGCUUGAGGAACCAAAUGGGAUUGCUACUGUACCAGCCUCCCUGCUGUGUAGCAGCUUCCCUGCCUGAUCUCCUGGACUUCACUGCAGAGCUGAAGAUGGAGUUUCCCAGAUUCAUAGUUUCAGAGGAAUUUGUUCUGUGAUCUCUGGAGCAGGGGUAGGAGUUCAUGGAAUUGAUGACUAUCAUGGGCCUGACCCAGAUCAUCUAGGGUCAAACAACCAAUUUGGUGUUCUUGUUGGAGCGGUGCCUAUGUGAUCGGGAAUUGGUGGACCUAUCCUACAUCCCCUUGUCUUAAAGCCUUACCUUCUCCACAGAGAGGCAGGACCUACUAGAUCAAUCCCACCCCCCAGCAACCGAUGGAUUCGGAUGGGUUUCAAAAAGAGCUGGGUAUUAUAAGUGAAGAUCUGCUGUGUAGCCCUGCCAAAUCCUUAGUUGUCACCUGGAAUAGGGAGGUGACUGGGGCUUUGAACAGGAUUGCACCCAUACCCAUGGCAUACAGAGGAAUUGAGAGAUAUGAAAUGGAUGAAGAGACAUCUAGAGCACCACUAGCAGGAAUGAAAAACAUGCUUGCCCAAAUACAGAUCAUAUCGUCCUGCCUCUCCAAGUGCUGAAGAUAACAACGGCUUGGUCCUUUUUAAAAUGAAGGCUAUAACUCAAGAGAAACAGUGAACCACAUUGGGGGAGAAUGCAGCUAACAUUUCCACACAGCCUCUGCAUGAGGUUUAGAAUUCCAAGAUACCAGGAAGGACCAUAUAAGAGAUAACAGAGAAUCUUAACUGCAAGAUUACUUUAUUUCUAUAUGAGUAGAUAUGUUCAAGCAAGAAAUUUUGCACCAUAUUUUUAUGACAUGUUACUGUGUUGUGCUAAAGUGUAAUUUUCUGGUGUGUGUGUGUGUGAGAGAGAGAGAGAGAGAGAGAGAGAAAUCAGAUUUUUCAAAGUCAGCUUUGAAUCAUGCCUCAAGUGACGCAUGAGGGAUUUUUCUCCUUUCCGCUCCCUCCCACUCUUCAUUCCUCCCAUUCAUUCAUUUUGUGACAUGUAAUAUAAACUGGAAUCAUUCCAGUGUCUUUUCAGAGUUCUUUAACAGAUUUGUAGAUCGGCACCAUCUUGUGGACUCUUUGGAGCCUUGUAUUUUAUUUUUUUUAUUUUUUUGUAAUGUUUCCUGCUGUAUCCCCUGAUUUCAACAGCUCUGUAACUCUUUAUUUCAAUAUUAAAUGUUUGUAUUUUAAUCUGUAAAGUUAAAAAUGUUUUUUUUUACUUUUUAUAUUUUUAUGCUUUUAAUAAAGUUUGAUUUUAUUUA
This is a long non-coding RNA of Pantherophis guttatus, 2503 nucleotides long. RefSeq lists it as uncharacterized. NCBI's taxonomy places the organism in Eukaryota, Metazoa, Chordata, Lepidosauria, Squamata, Colubridae. The record is from RefSeq and is a predicted model, not a curated record.